CUGUGAAGGUAUAAAGGUAUAAAGUUGAUGAUAAGAGGGGUGCAGUGGGGCCCUGCAGGACCUGGAGGAGGAAUGGCUGUGUGGCACCGCAUGGAUCCAACUGGUUUAACCACAGAUGCUGAAAGCUGGAGUUCUCUAAUCACGGAGGCUAUGAGAAGAGCGCCCAGUUUCGCAUGCAUUGGAGAUGUCCUGCGGGUAUCCAAACCCAGACCUGGUAUUUGAUCAUCGCUCUGUGUUUCCCCAGAUUCUGCUACGGUCAGCUGUAUACAGUGUUUCUUGGCAGAUUUCUGUCAUCCGACUUCUCUACUAAAACCGAUGUACCAAACUCCUGCUGGGAUGCAGUGUGCUUGUGAGAUGCCAGCAGGCCUUGGAGUAUGAGGAUAAAGCUGAUAGGACUGGCAUGGUCCUGCCUGCAGGCUCAUUGCUAUGCUCUUACAAAUACAAGUGCUGCAGCAGUGACAGUCUAAGGAUAGAAGAGGUAAUACAUUUUACUAGAUUGACUAAUACAAAUGGAAAAAAGUGUAUAAACUUUUGGGUUUAAGAUAAGGGGAUUCUGAGACCAAGACCUUUCCUGCGUUUUUUGUUGAAACUGGAUCAAGGUCCUUGUUGCAGAGGAUGGACAGUCUAAUAGUGUAUGAACUCCUAAACACACAGUCUGCUAAGCCCAUCAGGAAUGCAAGGCUUUGAGUGGGAUCCAAUAAGACAGUUAAGUUCCUGAAAGAGGACUUGGACAGAUGUGAGGUACAUCAGUGAAAACCUGUGAUUCAAGAGACUCCAUUCAGCUGGUAUUUAGUGCUGGAGGUGCUCAGCUUUGACGUUUGCAUUUUCAGGGCAGAACCUAAAGUGAUGUCUCUUUGCAUAUCACAACGACAUUGCCCGUAACCCAGGAGUUAGUGCACUUGGAGAGGUGGGAAAAUGUUGACUGGAAACUGUUCUGACUGAAGAAGGCAUUUCAUUCACUAGACAAGCAUUUGCCUUUGCUUA
Molecule: long non-coding RNA, 984 nt
Filed under: Struthio camelus australis
Lineage: Eukaryota; Metazoa; Chordata; Aves; Struthioniformes; Struthionidae
Description: lncRNA (ENSSCUG00000008264.1)
Source: RNAcentral